AAUUAGCUGUAUAGUGAAGUACAUUUCAUUUGGAAUGUUAAAGGCUACUAUUUAGGCCUACUGUUACGUACAGUGUUCUGUAUGUCUUAUAUGUUAUACAUGGUAUAGGCCUACAUGUAUUGUAUGUAUUGUGUUCUGUUUUGUGUAGUAUGUUUGUGUUGUUGUUCUGUCUCCUCCUCCUGUUUUCAUUCUCCAAAUUCUCAGAUGUGCACACCUGGUCCCAAUCACCACACCUGUUCCAGAUCUCCCAUUCCCCUUUAAAUAGUCCUGUGUUUGUUUGUCAGGGUUGAGUGCUUUGGUUUGAGCUGUGGCAGAGCUUUGGUUGAGCUCUGUUGGCUUGUUUUUGGAGUGUAUUUGCUAGUGUUUACUAGUGGUUGCGAGUGCUUGCGAGUGCUUGGUUUCUUUGUUGGUUUAUUGUAUUGUCUUUAGUUAUUAACCACUUGUUUAAACCUCAUUACUUUAGUUGUUAGCAGCCUACUUUAGUUUUGUCUUUGCCUUCACAUAAUCUCCUUCAUUUAUUGAAGGAGCUAUGAUAGGAAUGUGAGUGCCAUCUAUGCAGCCAAUCACACCUGGAAACCCUAAAAUACAUAAAAUUGACUGAUUAGUGCUUCAAGUCUCAAAGCUUUAUGACAUGAAUAAAUUAUUGCUUAGACUGUUACCUGCAAUUCUGUGGAACUCUUCUUUGAGAAGUCUGCUGGGUCUGUGACUUGGGAAAACUACAAACGUGUAUAGUAGCCGUUUCAGUGCAAGUGUCACAUUUCGAACAGCCCGACAGACCGUUGCCUUGGACACAUGCUCUGCAUCACCAACGUUAUACAAAAAACUGCCGUUGGCAAAAAAUCGCAGUGCAAUACAAAGAAUUUGCUCGGAACUGAGAGCGUGUCCACGAUGUGUCGUGAACUAUGUGAGGGCUGAGAAUAUUGUUUAGAUAAAUUAUAGAUGAUGCAGAGAAACGGAAAUGCUCAAACAGGUACUCAUCAGGGAAUGAUAAAACAUCCAAUCGGGGUCUAAUAACCCUCACCUGACGGAGAUUUCUGAGGAGUAUCUGCGCCUCUACAUCAACUGGCUUUUCAAUAAAAGGACACGCCAUGUCUGCCACUGCCUUCCGUCUGCAGGCUUCAACUUAAGAGCAGGCGAAACUCAGGGUUAGUUGAAGAAAACCUGCCAGCGAGCAGGUUCGUUCAACAGGUUCGUCAAAGUCAACACAACAUCUAUAUCAUCCAAACUACGCAAGUUAAGCAUGAACGAUACGACUAAUAACAGCUGAGUCUGGAAUGAAACACAGAUCUGUUGCUGACGACACUGACCACACACACGCGUGCAACUACCUACUUUCUGGCGCCCCCCUCCCCCCAAAAAAUAAAGUGUAUAAAUUGAAUUGAUUUAAAGGAGUUUCAAUUAUGUAGUCAUGAUAAAGUAUGGGCUAUAAAAACUUUAAUGUUUAUUUUAAAGUCCAAUUUCACAAGUUCAAAGAACAAGUUCAAGAAUUGCAAGCAAUAAAUUGUGCAUAACGUUACUUUGAAAUAGUGCAUAACGUUACUUUAUGAAGUUUGACAAGCACCAGGGACAUUUAUUUCACCACAUUAGAAAUUGAAUGAGUCAAUCUAACGUUAGCAUAUACCUCAGCUUGCUAGUAGACCAUGCAACAUUAGCGAACCACCAAGCAAACUCUGUAAAAAGUAACAAUAUUUCAAUCUUACCUUCAUAUCAGCCAAAAGGAGGUGGCUGCAGAGACUGUUAACAAUUCAACUGUCUCUUAAAAAUGACAAUUCUGAUCCACCCAUCGAUUUGUUGUGUAGCAGGACACAGAUGAAAAGUCAGAGACAUAAGAGUCUUACAGUCACGUAUCAGUAGCCUGGUCCUACCAGACCUUCGUACUUCAUUUAAUUUGUACAGAAGGUCUGGAACUGCUCAAUUGACAAACGUUCACUCACUUGGAGGCGGGUGUCUGUAGAAGUUUUAAAAUGAUUGGAUCUGCCCAGUGCCACUCUGGAUCUGCCAUAACCAAUCGCAUAGCGUUUGGUCGUGACGUAUGUCAUGCGACGGGACCGGCUCCUUCACCGCUAACGGAGCCAGCUGGAAAAUCUAACCUUUCCCGAACCCGGUGGGGAGAAGCGCCACAACAUCAUUGCCACCAACAAAACUCUGCAAAGCUUGUUCUUGCUCCGGUAUUAAUUGAUCGAUUUUCGGCAGCGAUCCCACAACAGACCGAAUAGCUUCUCUCGUAUCCUUCUCCAUUGUCUUCCUCUGACUACAACUGAAACUGGCGCGCAACCUAGACGUCAUCGUUCUGAGCAUUCAUCAAAGGAUCAACAGCUGUCACUUUUGGCGGAGCUCCAGCAGCUUCUAGCGAAAAAGUGAUUGCCACGGUCCCGAAGGGAGAGGAAAUGCAGGGAUUCUAUUCCCGCUAUUUCCUUGUACCGAAGAAAACAGGAGGGCUGAGACUGAUUCUCGAUCUAGCCCGAUUCAACAAAUGCAUUGCGGAGAGGCCGUUUCACAUGUUAACAAUCAGACGAGUGUUACAGUGUGUAAAACCGGGCGACUGGUUCACCUCAAUAGAUUUGAAGGACGCUUACUACCACGUCACAGUGAUCCCCAAACACAGGAAAUUCCUGCGUUUCUCAUUCCAAGGGUCACACUACCAGUACAACCGUCUCCCUUUCGGCUAUUCUCUAGCCCCACGAACGUUUUCCAAAUGCGUGGAGACGGCUCUCCGGCCGCUGCACGUAACAGGAAUGAGAGUACUGUUCUACUUGGACGAUCUGCUUUUGAUAGCUCGCUCCAAGGAAGAAGAUUCAAACAAAAAAGCUGAUGUCAGCCGCUCACACGGUGGUGCCACUGGGGCUGCUUCACAUGAGGCGGCUGCAGAGAUGGUUUUCUCGCCUGCGCAUCGACCCGGUGCGCCAACGGCGGCGCACAGUGACCAUUCCCCUAUCAGUGGGCCCCGAUUUGACCCGCUGGGAGCACACACACUUGCUCUCCAUCAGAGCAGCGUACAUCCCCGGUGUCCUGAACAGAGGGGCCGACAUAAUGUCGAGGGGGGGUCCCCAAACAGGAGACUGGACUCUGCACCACGACCUGAUCAAUCAGAUAUGGAGCGAGUUUGGGAAGGCGGAGGUCGACCUAUUGAAAUUGGGUCCUAUAUGUAGUCGAAUAAUAAAAUAAAAUUCUAAUUUGGUGCCGUCUUGACCGAGAAAAGGCAGAAAGUGACUUUUUGGCGCUUGUGGAUUGAAGACAACAACUCCCACCAUGCACAGCUUCGCUGGCGGCCACUCCCGCUGAUCAUCUCCGCCUAUCGGACACCUCCUUGUUUCAUCUACUAAUGGAACAAAUCAGCGUGGAGCUUGAACCGACGUCACUAGAGUAGUGACGCUUGCACAGAAGCAUACGGCCGACAUCUUUCCUUAUUCUGGGUGGAAAUAGUAACAUAGUUACGCCAUUAAAUGCGUUUAUGUAAACAUUUUUAGCGAGAAAUGUGCAUUUUAAUUUCAUAAUGUUCGCUCGUUGAAUUUGAAGGAUGUUUGGUUUGAUAGUUAUGACGAAGAGGGAACGCUCCAUUCACUUGCAUGGACAGCGUCUCUGGUUGCUAAGCAACCUCAACGUCUUGGCGGACUAUAUUAUUGUUAUUUAUAUCCGAGAUUAUUUAAUCUAACCCGAUCUAAACUCUAUCAUGCACCCAAACAUGGCGGCGUUUGGAUUUCCUACCUCGGACUCCUAAAUCCAGCGCAGCCACAGGCGCCUUGGCGCGUUGAACCAAUUUUUGUGACACACAAUGAUCAAGCGACAAGUUAGGCACGUUACACGCGUUUGGUGUGGCCGUAGCCCGUGUCCACCAAAAGCGUUUUUUUAUGCGGUUUCACCCAAAAAAUCGGCUUCGCGUGGACGGGGCCAAGAAGGCGAAUACACGUCACCAAGACGGGGAGACAGCGCCAGGCGACUUACGCCACUAUCUGCCAAUGGAUCGUGGAUGCCUGGGCUGAUAUAACAGUCUCCACUGUGGUCCAAGCUUUCACGAAGGCAGGAAUAAUCUCUGAACUGCCAGGCAACAACAGCGACAAUGACUCGGAUAAUGACGAGAGGAAUCCGGGCAUGUUGGAUGCCGUAGGCCUACUCGCCCAACUGUUCAAUUCGCAAACACAAGAAUUCGAGGAAUUCGUAGACGGGGAAUGAACUGAAAAGGUGAGCUUAUUGUUAAGAGAUAUUGAUCAGAUAUUGUUAAUAUGCACAUUAACGUUUGAACAUCGUUACCAUGGGAGUGACCGGAGUUGUCAGAACGCUUAAUAAAGUUUGACUUUAUCUGACUGUUUUGUUGACAUUCUCUAUAGCACAGCUCGGUCUUGUCGAUGCAUAACACAACCCCAGUCAAACGUUUGACUGCAGUAUCUUCUUUUCUAUGCGCCUAAUAAUCCGGUGCGCCCUAUAUAUGAAAACAGUUCUAAAAUAGGCCAUUCAUUAAAGGUGCGCCUUAUAAUCCGGUGUGCCUUAUAGUACGGAAAAUACGGUAGUCCUCGUUUGUAUUUCUUUCGAAAUGGUGAACUUUUGCAUGGAGCCAUCUUCUAUGUCAGAUCCAGUACCCUCCGCCAAUGUACUUCAGUUUUAUCAACAGCCUCUGUUAUCUUAGCUUCAGACGCUGUGGAUGUUAGUUUCUGCUGGUGAAGUCCCACCCACUGGCACUGCUCUAAUAGGUCUGUAGCGUCAGUGGGUCCCACCCCCUAGAGGGGGGUGGGACUAGUGGUUGUAGUCUUACGAGAAUCAUCUCCUCUUACACUUCCUGUUUUCUUAUACGCAAAAAUCGUCAUAUUGCGUCAUUAAAAACAGGAAGUGUUGGAGAUCGAUACGGAUCUCUCCAGUCUCUCCAGAAAAUAAGGGAAUGAUGCUAGACCAUUCAAAAAUAUGCGGGGGGUUCUAAAAAUACAAAGCUUAUGUGAAAUGGGUGAAGUUUCCCUUUAAGGAGCACCAGAAUGGGGGUGGCUCAAUUAGCCUAUGAGCCACAGCUGCAGACUAUCACGGCUAACCAGCCAGACAGGAGCAUGUGAAUCUUUUAAAACAUGUUGAAUACAGUGAAGAUCCCAUUCACAUCUUCGCAUUACCUUCCCCCUCUGUUAAGCUUGCAAACACAGUUUCAAGCGCACUAGAUAAAAAAGGUGUCCCGUGUAUCCAGGCGCCGGAUAUGCGGGAGAGUGGAGGCAGUAAUAAGGUUGAGGAGCUUGAGUGUGCCUGGCGUAACGAUGGAAUUGGAGGCAGCCGUGUUCUGGAUGCCGGGGAUAUAGGCAGUGUCCUGUGGGCCCAUUCUCUCUCUCUCUGAUAGACGCGGUUUGACGGCUGGAUGCAGCGGAUCGCAUUGUCUUCUCUGCGCCCCUGUUGAUUAAUGGAACUGCCUGUCAAUAAAUAUAGUUUAUUGUAAUGAACGUUACCCGACGGUGUCUGUCUCCCUAUGUUCAACGCCUUUGAGCCAAGGCGUUGCCAAACGCGGGUGUACUUUGUGCAAUGUGAGGCAGUGCAAGCAGCCAGAAGUUCACAGGAAAAAACAAUACAAAGGUGAUCAAAUACACACAUGUCCAUGACCUUAACACAUGGUAUCCUCAGGCCCAGGCUAAAAAUGAGGUCCAGAGUAUGGCCAUGGGUUUUACCAGAAACAUGUUGUUCAAAAUUAAGACUUAGUGAUGCUUAAAAAAUCAGUAGCAAGGGUAUUAGACAGGUCAUCAACAUGGAUAUUAAAAUCCCCACAAAGCACAAUUCUAUCAUGGUUUAGAACAAGACUAGAUAAAAAUUCAGAGAGUUCUGAUAAUAAUGGGCCAGCUGGUUUAGGGGGUCGGUAGAAUGUUGCAAGAAUGACGGGGUUUGGGCCACCUAGUUUAAGCAACAGCACUUCAAAAGAGGAAAAAACAUUCCAAGGAAUUUGAGUGCAUUUAUGUUGCUUAAACUAAAUGCACUGUUACAAGGCCGCCACCACGGCCACAAACCCUAGGCUGGCUAAUACAGUCAAAGUCUGGGAGUCUUCAACGAGCUUGCAGUGAUCACCGGGUUGUAACCAGGAUUCAAAACAGGAUAAAAACAUGAAAUCCAACUCGGCAGAAAAAAUGAAAUCAUUUAAAAUAAAAGUCUUAUUAGAGAGAGAUCUUACAUUUGAAAGAGCCAUCUUAAAAGGUCUAUGCUGGGCUAAAAUCUUUACUGGGGUUAUGGUCCGGAUCAUUGUUAUGUUAUUAAUAUUUCUGUGUUUAGGAUUCCUGUUGAGUUUGGCCGGUAGGCAUCUAAUCGUUACAGGAACCCUAUUACUAAUGGAAAUGGUGCGAGAAAGAUCCGGAUCCGCCUGUGUAAUGAUGGAUUGUAUAGGGAGGCUUUCCGGUGCGAGUGUCAGCGACAGAUGUGACGUGACUGGCAGGGGGAACUGACGGGGGGAACAGUGAUCUGAGUGGGCGGAUGUUUCGGGGAGAAGGGGAUAAACAGUCAUGCAUGUGAGGUUGAUUGAACAGUGUGCUGUAGGUUAGCCGUUAGCAUUUUGUUACCCCACCAGUUGGGGUGAAUACCGUCUGGCCUGAAUAAAUGUGAACGGUCCCAAAACAGAUCGAAAUUAUUAAUAAUACCAAAUUUUAGAGCUGUGCAGGUGGAUUGGAGCCAGGUGUGGAGGCUGAGAAGUCUGCUAAAACGCCCCACUCCACGGCCCAGAGAGGGGAUGGGACCAGAAAAGUAGACACUCUUGUCACAUGAAAAUGAAAUGAAUCUUUUUUGAUGAGCUCAGACUGCUCAUGAGCAAUGUCGUAUGUUCCGACGUGGACAAUCACACGUCUAAUUGAGGACGGGAGCGAGCGCAGAAGCCCCGGAAGUUUGCUGGUGAUGACAGGGACCGUGGCUCCGGGGAAAAAGUGAGUUGCAGCGUUGAAAAAGCGUGUGUUCCUUAUAAUGGAGUGUCCGACUAUUAAUGUGGUCGGAAGGAAAAGGGGCCGAGGGGCUGACAGCCGUGGAAUCUCGGAGCCAGAGAGUGGAAACGCGGUGUCCACGCUGCAUGGCCCAACAGGAGAGAGAGGACGCGGGGCAGCGAUGUCAGCACGGGGAGCGGGACUCACCGGCACAGGGCGAGGAAGAACUCCGGAGCGUCUCAACACGGCCUCCCUAACGCCCCGUGCCCACUACCUCCGUCCGUUGACUGAUCCCCAUUGACUUUGAAUGGGGACGGACGCGCAAUGCAUUGUGGAUCCGUCCGUUCCGUUGGAGCCUUCGGCUCAGUCAAGAAGUUGAAAAAUGUUCAACUUUUUCGGCAGCGACGGAUCCGUCAUCCAAUCAGAUCACGUAUGCAAAUUUAAGCACUGUGACGCGACUCGGGCUCUGACGAUACUGUAAAGCUGGAAAGCGAUGAGAAGUUAAUUGAAAAAUGGAGGACCAACUUAUAAUCGCCGUUGGUUCUCGGCCAAUUUUGUACGACCAGUCCAUGUACACAUACAGGGACAUCAGACUAAAAGAUCGGGCAUGGCAAGAUCUGUCAUUGGAGGUGGGGGAAACAGGUAAUAUGUAUUUCCUUUCUGAUUAUUUUCGAUGUAUGUACUACUUUUCAAAUGAAUCAGUGUUGAAUGACUGCUAGCAGUACAGCAUGCAUGGUCCAGCAUUUGCAUCGUCCAAAAUAUCUAAUUAACUGCUACCUAGAAUGUAUAGUUGCAAUUGCUGACACAUGUUUAAACAUGCACUUUCUGUAUGCAUAUGCGUUUUGGAAACAAUAUCCCUGUAUUUAUUCAUUCGAUUUGGACCGUGCAUGCAGAAUCCAAAAACAUAACAUAGCAGCUACAGCAUAGCUACUGAUACAUAGAUUAUAAAGAGUACAUAGACAUAAAUGUUCAAGUCUUUACAGAAAAUAAUAAUGAAAAGAAUGAAGUAGAUUGUAAUGUAAUCAAUCAUUUUAUUUCAUAUAUUUAUUUACAGUGCCUGAAUGUAC
Gadus chalcogrammus (walleye pollock) is the source of this 7924-nucleotide long non-coding RNA. RefSeq lists it as uncharacterized. NCBI's taxonomy places the organism in Eukaryota, Metazoa, Chordata, Actinopteri, Gadiformes, Gadidae. The transcript has 3 exons. The record is from RefSeq and is a predicted model, not a curated record.